CACCUUCUGGGUGGUGGCACUAUCCAUGAGGUACAGUUAUGGGUACAGCUGGAUUUGCAAAAUCACGCGAGAAUUGCGAGAUCUGGCACCAUUUGGCGAUGAAGAAGUGCUGCAUGGGAAGAGAGGAGUCUUUUUAAAGGUUUCUGCUUUAGAUUUGUGGACCACUUUCAGAGACGAGAAGUUUGUGCCAAGGCUUGAGGAGACGCCACCUUGACAUGAUUGAGGAUGAUAUAUGUGGCAGCAGUGGCACACUGACAAAAAUCACAACUGUUUUACGCAACGUCUGCUCAAAAGGGAUGAAACAUUUGGAGCAAAGACAGCAGAUGCACAUAGGAGGAGGAACAGGAUUUGUUGUAAUGGAUGAGAGCAAUUUCAGACAUAAAAGAAAGUAUGCAAGAGGCCGGUUUGGGGCUACAGGGCGGAGAAGGUCCUGGGUUUUCGGAAUGUUAGAAGUGAGAGGAAAUGACAGAAGGCCAUUUCUGAGCAGAAGAACAAGACAGGAGUUGGUCCCACUUGUUCACAAUAUGUCAAGUCCGGAAGCAACAUCAUCACAGAUUGUUGGAGAGCAUAUGAAAGACUAUCGCAAGAUGGUUACAUCCACUAUCAAGUGAACCAUAGGCGACACUUUGUGCAUCCUCAGACUGGUUGUCAUACACAGCAUGGCGUACCUACAAAGAGAACAUCUACUGCUUCAGGGGGAACUGAACACCCAUAGCUCUUAAAAUGAAUCUCAGAUUCAUUGAGUGGAACCACUGGUUGGCCAAAAGACACCACAAUGGAGUGGUUGGAUGCCUUUUUAAGGACACCAGGGCCUUAUUUAAGGUGUAAAUGUAAUUCAAAACAAAUGCUGUGUUUUCCUGUUGAAAACUUUGUAAAUGUUACUCCACCCCCCUUCCCCUACGUUUAAUGUCUUGGUUAAUGUAUUGUCCUUAAAUAUAAAAAGUGACAUUUAACUUGUUUGAUUAUUAAGUUGUACUUCUCUGCAGUUAUCGAUUAAUGGUGGCUUAAAAUAAAAAAAAAUGGACAUUUAG
Molecule: long non-coding RNA, 1031 nt
Organism: Thunnus maccoyii (southern bluefin tuna)
Lineage: Eukaryota; Metazoa; Chordata; Actinopteri; Scombriformes; Scombridae
Exons: 3
Source: RefSeq, a predicted model, not a curated record